Molecule: ribosomal RNA, 253 nt
Filed under: uncultured bacterium
Lineage: Bacteria
Description: partial 16S ribosomal RNA
Rfam family: Bacterial small subunit ribosomal RNA
Source: RNAcentral
UACGUACGAGGCGAGCGUUAUCCGGAAUUACUGGGCGUAAAGCGCGCGCAGGCGGAUGUUUAAGUCGGUCGUGAAAUCUCCCGGCCCAACUGGGAGGGGUCGUCCGAGACUGGACGUCUUGAGGGCAGCAGAGGUAGGUGGAAUUCCUGGUGUAGUGGUGAAAUGCGUUGAUAUCAUCAGGAACACCGGUGGCGAAAGCGGCUUACUGGGUCUCUUCUGACGCUGAGGUACGAAAGCGUGGGGAGCGAACAGG